CCAAUAGCGUAUAUUAAAGUUGUUGCAGUUAAAAAGCUCGUAGUUGAAUUUCGGGAUUAGUGCGCUGGUCAUGCCUUUGGUAUGUACUGGUGUUACUGAUUUCUACCUUCUGAAGAACCGUUAUGUCAUUUAUUUGGUGUGGCGGGGAAUCAGGACUGUUACUUUGAAAAAAUUUGAGUGUUUAAAGCAGGCUCGCGCUUGAAUACAUUAGCAUGGAAUAAUGAAAUAGGACGUUUGACCCUAUUUUGUUGGUUUCUAGGAUCGACGUAAUGAUUAAUAGGGAUAGUUGGGGGCAUUAGUAUUCAAUUGUCAGAGGUGAAAUUCUUGGAUUUAUUGAAGACUAACUACUGCGAAAGCAUUUGCCAAGGAUGUUUUCAUUAAUCAAGAACGAAAGUUAGGGGAUCGAAGACGAUCAGAUACCGUCGUAGUCUUAACCAUAAACUAUGCCGACUAGGGAUCGGAUGAUGUUAUUUUUAAUGACUCAUUCGGCGCCUUACG
This 498-nucleotide ribosomal RNA is filed under the name uncultured Glomeromycotina. RNAcentral describes it as "partial small subunit ribosomal RNA". It matches the Rfam family "Eukaryotic small subunit ribosomal RNA", at positions 591 to 1092 of the family's 1831-position model. The record is from RNAcentral. Lineage: Eukaryota; Fungi; Glomeromycota.